Molecule: ribosomal RNA, 501 nt
Filed under: uncultured bacterium
Lineage: Bacteria
Description: bacterial SSU rRNA
Rfam family: Bacterial small subunit ribosomal RNA
Source: RNAcentral
AUGGCUCAGGAUGAACGCUAGCUACAGGCCUAACACAUGCAAGUCGAGGGGUAGCGUGAGGGAAGCUUGCUCCCUGACGACGACCGGCGAACGGGUGAGUCACGCGUGUCCAACCUGCCCCGUGCCCGGGGAUAGCCCUUGGAAAUGAGGAUUAAGACCCGAUAUGUGGCGCUUCCGCAUGGCGGCGCCAUGAAGCAGGCACGGGAUGGGACGCGUCGGAUUAGCUUGACGGCGGGGCAACGGCCCACCGUGGCGACGAUCCGCAGGGGUUCUGAGAGGAAGGUCCCCCACACUGGCACUGAGACACGGGCCAGACUCCUACGGGAGGCAGCAGUGAGGAAUAUUGGUCAAUGGGCGGGAGCCUGAACCAGCCCAAGUAGCGUGCAGGACGACGGCCCUACGGGUUGUAAACUGCUUUUCCGGGAGGAUAAAGUGAGCCACGCGUGGUUCAUUGCAGGUAUCCCGGGAAUAAGGACCGGCUAAUUCCGUGCCAGCCGCGGC